UACGUAGGCAGCAAGCGUUGUUCGGAAUUACUGGGCGUAAAGAGUGUGUAGGCGGUUUUCUAAGUUUGGUGUGAAAUCUCCCGGCUUAACUGGGAGGGUGCGCCGAAUACUGAAUGACUUCGAGUGCGGGAGAGGAGAGUGGAAUUCCGUGGUGUAGCGGUGAAAUGCGCAGAUAUCCGGAGGAACACCAAUGGCGAAGGCAGUGUCCUGGGAAGUACCUGACGCUCAGGUGCGAAAGCUAGGGGAGCGAACAGG
Molecule: ribosomal RNA, 255 nt
Filed under: uncultured bacterium
Lineage: Bacteria
Description: partial 16S ribosomal RNA
Rfam family: Bacterial small subunit ribosomal RNA
Source: RNAcentral